RNAcentral lists this ribosomal RNA (336 nucleotides) under uncultured bacterium. RNAcentral describes it as "bacterial SSU rRNA". It matches the Rfam family "Bacterial small subunit ribosomal RNA", at positions 168 to 507 of the family's 1533-position model. The record is from RNAcentral.
CCCCUACGAAAGGCAUCCGAAUGGGGAUUAAAGAUUGAUCGCUAUGGGACUGGGGAUGCGUCUGAUUAGCUUGUUGCGGGGUAAACGGCCCACCAAGGCAACGAUCAGUAGGGGGUUCUGAGAGGAAGGUCCCCCCANAUUGGAACUGAGACACGGUCCAAACUCCUACGGGAGGCAGCAGUGAGGAAUAUUGGUCAAUGGGCGAGAGCCUGAACCAGCCAAGUAGCGUGCAGGACGACGGCCCUAUGGGUUGUAAACUGCUUUUAUAAGGGAAUAAAGUGAGUCUCGUGAGACUUUUUGCAUGUACCUUAUGAAUAAGGACCGGCUAAUUCCGUG